This 140-nucleotide ribosomal RNA is filed under the name uncultured bacterium. RNAcentral's name for it is "partial 16S ribosomal RNA". It matches the Rfam family "Bacterial small subunit ribosomal RNA", at positions 355 to 511 of the family's 1533-position model. The record is from RNAcentral.
UGGGGAAUAUUGGACAAUGGGCGAAAGCCUGAUCCAGCAAUGCCGCGUGUGUGAAGAAGGUCUUCGGAUUGUAAAGCACUUUCGACGGGGACGGAUGAUGACGGUACCCGUAGAAGAAGCUCCGGCUAACUUCGUGCCAG